AGCAGCUGUGGCUGCCAUCAGGUCCCUGGAAGGGCGACUGUCUGGUUACUGCAGCGGUUCCUGAGUGCGCAGAAUUACCCCUGGACAGUGGCUGAGAGGGGCUGGAACUUGGGCCCAGGAUUCUUGCAGGUUUCACAGCCAAGUAUGAGGUCUGCAGACCUGGCUCUGAAGGUACAGGAAUGGAUGGAGAACAUGAAAAGAAAGCAGGAAGAAAAUGUGGAAAAAAGGAAUAUGCUUGUAAGUGAAUGAAUGCCUCAGUACUACUUUGCACAAUAGUGUUUUGAAUUGCAGAACUCAAUAUGCAAGACUGUAGAACUUUGACAUCCAGAAAAGUUGCUUUUUUUGAACUCCUGAUCACUUUAAAUUGAAAGUCACUUCAGUCUCCUUCCUGUGGCUUCUCUGGAUCUUUGGCUUCAUUGAAGUGUAACCUGGGGAGUGUCUGUGGAAAUUUAUCAUUGCAUUAAACACGAAAAUACAUUUGA
Molecule: long non-coding RNA, 482 nt
Organism: Suricata suricatta (meerkat)
Lineage: Eukaryota; Metazoa; Chordata; Mammalia; Carnivora; Herpestidae
Exons: 2
Source: RefSeq, a predicted model, not a curated record